Mytilus californianus (California mussel) is the source of this 1502-nucleotide long non-coding RNA. RefSeq lists it as uncharacterized. The transcript has 2 exons. The record is from RefSeq and is a predicted model, not a curated record. Lineage: Eukaryota; Metazoa; Mollusca; Bivalvia; Mytilida; Mytilidae.
GUUCGACCUCUGAGGUUGUAUCAAGCUGCGCACUGCGGAGCAUUUUAUUAUAUUUAUAAGAAUCUACAUGUAUAAGGUAUUAUCAACAAAUAAUAUUUCAUUCAGUGAGUGUUGAUCGCAAGCUAAUUAAUUUUCAAAUGUGUUGCCGAAGUUUACUGGAUAGUGACAUUCAUAAACAAUCAACACAGAGCACGUGGUAGCCUUUUCAAUAGUCGUCUGGCGCGAAAACAAAUGGAAAAAGGCCGAUAACUCAAUUUUAGAAUUUAAUAUUUUCGGAGACAGUCAAUUUCCAGAAUUGCAUGCUUUAUCAUCACCAUUUUUUCUUUGGCCGUCAAUGAUGACACUAUUGCUGCAUUCUUUGACAAUAAGGUAUAUUUAACAAGACAGUAUUAUCAAUGUAUUAUCGUGGUAUCAACAUAUGUUAGCAAUGUUAGAUACCUGAAUUAAUUCUAAUUUUGGCAAGGACAAUUCAUCACUUCCCCGGAAAACAUGAUUUUGUACAAGUUCACUUUUCGGCAUCUCCAGGCAGCAAAGCAGAUCAAAUUCCUGAUGAUUUUUACUACGGCAUUCUGCUUUUUAUUCGACCGCAAAAAAUUUUUGUGGUCGUAUAUUGGUAUGACGUUGUCGUCGUCGUCGUCCGAAGACACAUUGGAUCGGAGCAUUUUAUUAUCAUUUACCAUAAGGUUCAAUACCACAAAAGGAAGGUUGGGAUUGAUUUUGGGGGUUAUAAUUAUGGUACCAACAGUUAAGGAAUUAAGUGCCAAAAAUAAGCAUUUUUGUAACUUCCAGACAUAACUUGUGUGUUAGUGUAUGGAUCUCUCUGACAUUGUACCACAAGGUUCCAUAUCACUAAAGGAAUGCUGGGAUUGAUUUUGGGGGUAAUUGCCUCCAAAUUUUAGGAAUUAGGGGCCAAAAAAGGGGCAAAAAACAAGCAUUUUUCUAGUUUCAUGACAAUAACUUGUGUGUAAGUGUAUGGAUCUUUCUGAAAUUGUACUACAAGGUUCCAUAUCACAAAGGGAAAGCUGGGUUUGAGUUUGGGGGUAAUUGCCCUAAACGUUUAGGAAUUUGGGGCCAAAAAGGGGCCAAAAAACACAUUUUUUUCUAGUUUCCAGACAAUAACUUGUGUUCAAGUGUAUGGAUCUCUCUGAAAUUGUACUGCAAGGUACCAUACCACAAAGGGAAGGCUGGGAUUGAGUUUGGGGGGUGAUGAAUCAUAAUGGGGGUUCAAAAAAUUUUGGGGGGGGAUUUAUUUUUUUUUCCUUUUUUUCUUUUUUUCCUUUUUUGUUUCUUUUAAAAUUUUCCAUUUUAAGUUGGUUAUUUCUGAUUUAUAUUUAAAAUCAAAUAAUAAUGAUAUGGUAGGAGAUACACACCAAACAGGAUGUGUAAAUUAUUAUAUAAUAAGUAUUGUGCAAUAGCAAGAAAUUUUCAAUUGCACAGUAUUGCACAAUAGCAAGAAAUCUUCAAUUGCACAGUAUUGCGCAAUAGCAAGAAAUCUUCAAUUG